Cyprinodon tularosa is the source of this 492-nucleotide long non-coding RNA. RefSeq lists it as uncharacterized. The record is from RefSeq and is a predicted model, not a curated record. Lineage: Eukaryota; Metazoa; Chordata; Actinopteri; Cyprinodontiformes; Cyprinodontidae. The transcript is spliced from 2 exons.
AUAUUGGCAUUCAAUUCUGUGGCUAUAAAACAGAGUACGGAUCGGAGGAUAAGGGGAAAUGGAGAGAUUGGGAGUGCCACAAGAAAUAUAGUGUCAUAUGUUAUGAUGAUAAUCUGGUUCUGGUGAAGGAGAAUAAGACAUGGGAGGAGGCAUUAGAACACUGCAGAGCUCUUGACAGUGUAAACAGAUUUGACCUGGCCACCCUGCUCACUGAACAUGACCUCAGCUAUGCGCAAGAGCUAGCCCAAAAUGCUACUACUGAUGAGAUUUGGACAGGACUAUGUUACCUAGGUGAUGAGUGGUUCUGGGUGGGUGGAGAAUCUAUGCUGGGCGCCCAGAACCCUGGUAGAUGCCCAGUUAACAGGUGUGGCGUUCUGGACAAGAACGGGACAUCCUUUAGGACCAGAGACUGCAGCCAGAAAAGAAACUUUUUCUGUUACAUGAAAUCUUAAACUGUUUACUGUUGAUGGUAUUUUAUCUUCAAAACAAAAA